Molecule: transfer RNA, 77 nt
Filed under: Candidatus Saccharimonadota bacterium
Lineage: Bacteria; Candidatus Saccharimonadota
Also listed under: 3 other names
Description: tRNA-Met
Rfam family: tRNA
About the family: Transfer RNA (tRNA) molecules are approximately 80 nucleotides in length. Their secondary structure includes four short double-helical elements and three loops (D, anti-codon, and T loops).
Source: RNAcentral
GGUACCGUAGCUCAGCUGGUUAGAGCGUGGGACUCAUAAGCCCAAGGUCACUGGUUCAAGCCCAGUCGGUACUACCA